Molecule: long non-coding RNA, 2472 nt
Filed under: Homo sapiens (human)
Lineage: Eukaryota; Metazoa; Chordata; Mammalia; Primates; Hominidae
Description: non-protein coding lnc-RNF13-3:1
Source: RNAcentral
GGGGGCGGGGAGGAGGCGGCUCUGCGCAGGCACCGACCGCCCCCCUCCCCGAGGAGCUGCGGCGGGAGGACGCGGGUUCAGCGAUGAGGGACGAACCUCAGAGCGCGCUCGGCCGCCCGGCCGCCCGCAGCCGCGGGGCUGACAAACCAGCGGCGGGAGGCUGCGAAGCGGCUGUGCCUGUGGCGGCUGCUCCUUACCGCAGCGCCCUCCGUUUUCCGCGGACACGGCUGGGCGUGCGCGCGCGCGUGCGUGCGAUCCUUCCGCGGCGCCCGGGCACGGAGGGUCCCGGGAAGGGCGGGGGGAGACUGAGGCGGGGGCGCGGAGGGAUACCGCCCCGGGACAAUCACGGCCGCCACGUGCGGGAGGCGCCGGCCGGGAGCGGUGGCGGGCCGAGCUUCGGACCUCGGGCCGGCGGAGAGGGUGGACCCCGCGUCGCUCUCGGCACCCCAGGAACAGCGGCGGCACGGACGCCUUGGAGCCCCGCGGCCGGGCCGCGAUGUGCUUUUCUCCUGUGUUCGCUGCCCGGGAUGCGGAAUCUUGAGCCUCGGUGUCGGGUUACAGAGUUGUCCUGGUGACGGGAUGCGGAGCGUUUCCUCCUUUUUGUUGUGGGGGCGGCUGGUGGCAGGGGCAGCUGGUGGCAGGGUUGCCCACGCUAAUCUCCGAGUCUCUAAGGGCACCGUCUUUCCUGGAUCCCUCUUGCGCCUCGUCCAUAAAGGCAGACCCGCGGGCGCGCGCCGGCAACCUGAAAUCAGAGCAGGCGUCCGUGGCGCUCAGGAACCUUGCUGAGCUUCGCCGAUCUUUCAUUGUUGCUUCAUUUGGGUACCAAGGGCCUCUCAUUCUGUGGAUUCUUUGCCUGGAGGAGCCCCCUUAAUGUUGCUAAUCACGUGUGGUUAAAUUGCUCGUAAAUUCCGAACAAAACAAAUAGCGACCUGUGUUACACUGUUUCUUGGUAACUGGGAAAGUUACUGGUGGCUUGAAGUAUACGCAGAAAAUACAAAGAUUAAAAACUAGGGAAGAGUUCACUGAAUGAACACCGUAACAUUUCUGCUCUGCAGGGUAAAAUAAUUUCGGGACCCAGGUCUGGGAAAGAUUUGUAUUAACAAGGUAAACGGUGGGUAGAGUGCCUGAGAAGCUAUUCGUAUCGUCUUUGGUAGCCUCUGGGCACUAGGACUAGACAUGGAAUUAGGGGUCCCCCAACAAUGACUUCAAUUUUAGGUUAAUAGAAACCAUCUGCCACUUAAGGGAAAGAAAGCACCAAAAUGUAGAUAAGUUGAUGUUCACCCUUAAAGUUAUCGUGUGAGGUCAUGAUUUGUAGGAGGAUUAAGGAAUGUAUCUCUGGAAAGGGCAAGAACGUUGCUUUUAAAAGUCUAAUUGGUUCUGAAGUUUUAUAUUUUUUCUGCUGAUUGCUUUAAAAUGUUCAGCUACUAGAGAGAAAAAAAGUACAGUAAAAGAAACCCCCAAGUCAGAGACCUAUCAGACUGAGAAUAUGUAUUUUCUCAUGUUCUAAAGAUACAGAAUACCUGUGUGGUGUAAAAUGUGAACCAAAAAUUGUUUCAUUUUUGUAAGUGUGCCUCCCACCUGAUUUAAUUACACUUAAUUGUUCUUGUUUAUGACUCUGCCUUUUAUGGUGAUGUUGAUCAUUUUAGUCCUUCGAUCAUAGCACUGUAUCAUCUUAAAAGUUAAUAAUAGAUUACUUGUAACACAGGCUCACUAUGUGAGAAUUCAUCAAGCUGUAUGUACAUUUAUUGUGCUCUUCAUUGUAUGUAUAAUUCAAUAAAUUGAAACAGUAAACGAAAAGGUAAUUAUAGAAAAAAUACAGUGAUAACUUGAAGUAUGUUGAAUUUUUAUUAAUUUACUCUGAAGGUUUUAAGAUAUAAUUUCUAGACGUUACUAUCUUAUUGUUAUAGCACAGAGUUGGAAAUAACUACAUUCUUUUCCUAUUCUUUUAUUGUUGGCUUUAAACAGUGAAAGAAUUUGACCAACAAUAUUUUCUAAUUCAAAUCUCAAAAGAUUCUAAAACACAUUUCUUGGGUAAAAUAUUCACAAAAAUUUAGAAUUCUUGUCAUUCUUCUAUAUUUUUCAAAAUAUAAUUCAUUUUAAAUUACUGCUUACUUUUCCAACAUGAUGUUAUUUUUCUAGAAUUGCAAACAGUAAAAUUUAAACAACUAUGAAAAAAAUUCUGUAUAAUAGAUUAAAUUUUACAGUUUCAAUUUUUAGGUUAUAUAUUCAAAGAGAGUCCAUGUGCUGUCUUGGUUUUCAGUACUGUAAUAAAGUAACCUGUGCUUUUUUGUUUGUUUGUUUAUUGAGAUGAGACUCCGUCACCAGGGCUGGAGUGCAGUGGCAUGAUCUCGGCUCACUGCAACCUCCGCUUCCUGGGUUCAAGCGAUUCUCCUGCCUCAGCCUCCCAAAAGUAGCUGGGAUUACAGACACCCGCCACUACGCCCAGCUAAUUUUUUGUAUUUUUUGUAGAGA